CUGCUCCUCAACCUUCUACUCCAACUCCUCAACCUUCUACUCCAACUCCUCAGACAUCUUCUCCUUCUCCUCAAUCUUCCACUCCAACUCCUCAAUCUUCUCCUUCUCCUCAACCUUCUACUCCAACUCCUCAACCUAGCACUCCUGCUCCUCAACCUAGCACUCCUGCUCCUCAACCAAGCACUCCUGCUCCAGCUUCUGGUCCAUCACCACCUGCACCUACCCCAGCUUCUGGUUCACCACCCUCACCACCAACUGCCACACCACCUGCACCUGCCCCAGCUUCUGGUUCACCACCAACUGCCACACCACCUAGUACUGUUGCUCCACCAAACUCUGCCAGAUCUCUUGGUUUCGCUGGCUUCACCACUUUCUUGUCCAUUUUUGUAGUUUUUUUGUGCUAUUAGAUUAC
This 412-nucleotide long non-coding RNA is filed under the name Populus tremula. RNAcentral describes it as "long non-coding RNA (PTRE_LNC002588)". Lineage: Eukaryota; Viridiplantae; Streptophyta; Magnoliopsida; Malpighiales; Salicaceae. The record is from RNAcentral.